Potamilus streckersoni is the source of this 77-nucleotide non-coding RNA. The record is from the annotation of a GenBank genome assembly. Lineage: Eukaryota; Metazoa; Mollusca; Bivalvia; Unionida; Unionidae.
UAUAUUGUGGCCAGAGUGGUAAGAGCAUCCUCCUCGGAUGCGGAAGGUAGCGGGUUAAAACCCCGGCUGAAUUAUAC